CCUACGGGAGGCAGCAGUAGGGAAUUUUCCGCAAUGGGCGAAAGCCUGACGGAGCAAUACCGCGUGAGGGAAGACGGCCUAUGGGUUGUAAACCUCUUUUUUCGGGGAGGAAUAAAUGACGUGUACCUGAAGAAUAAGCAUCGGCUAACUCCGUGCCAGCAGCCGCGGUAAGACGGAGGAUGCAAGUGUUAUCCGGAAUCACUGGGCGUAAAGCGUCUGUAGGUUGUUAGACAAGUCAACUGUUAAAUCUUGGGGCUUAACUUCAAAAUUGCAGUCGAAACUGUUUGACUAGAGUAUAGUAGGGGUAAAGGGAAUUUCCAGUGGAGCGGUGGAAUGCGUAGAUAUUGGAAAGAACACCAAUGGCGAAGGCACUUUACUGGGCUAUUACUGACACUCAGAGACGAAAGCUAGGGUAGCAAAUGGGAUUAGAUACCCCAGUAGUCCUAGCUGUAAACGAUGGAUACUAAAUGUUGGACAGAUCGACCUGUGCAGUAUUAAAGCUAACGCGUUAAGUAUCCCGCCUGGGAAGUAUGCUCGCAAGAGUGAAACUCAAAGGAAUUGACGG
RNAcentral lists this ribosomal RNA (565 nucleotides) under uncultured bacterium. RNAcentral describes it as "bacterial SSU rRNA". It matches the Rfam family "Bacterial small subunit ribosomal RNA", at positions 338 to 916 of the family's 1533-position model. The record is from RNAcentral.